GAUGUUAGCUCUAAAAUAUGCACACAUCGCCCGUCGCUCUCGUGAUAAAUGAGAUAAGUCGUAACAUAGUAGAUGUAUUGGAAAAUGUAUCUAGAAAGUCA
This 101-nucleotide ribosomal RNA is filed under the name Hetaerina occisa. RNAcentral describes it as "partial small subunit ribosomal RNA". The record is from RNAcentral. Lineage: Eukaryota; Metazoa; Arthropoda; Insecta; Odonata; Calopterygidae.